Molecule: ribosomal RNA, 33 nt
Filed under: Tetradesmus lagerheimii
Lineage: Eukaryota; Viridiplantae; Chlorophyta; Chlorophyceae; Sphaeropleales; Scenedesmaceae
Description: partial 28S ribosomal RNA
Source: RNAcentral
UGAGCUCAGGCAAGGCUACCCGCUGAACAUAAG